GACGAACGCUGGCGGCGUGGAUUAGGCAUGCAAGUCGGACGGUAGGGCUUUAUCGUAAGAUAGAGUUUGAGAGUGGCGAACGGGUGAGUAACACGUAGGAAUCUACCCUUAAGACGGGGACAACCCAGGGAAACUUGGGCUAAUACCGGAUGAGAGUGCGAGAGAUUGCAUUUAAAAGGAUGGCGAAAGUUGUCGCUUAGGGAUGAGCCUGCGGUCUAUUAGUUAGUUGGUGAGGUAAGGGCUCACCAAGGCGAUGAUAGAUAGGCGGCCUUAACGGGUGGUCGCCCACACUGGGAUUGAGAUACGGCCCAGACUCCUACGGGAGGCAGCAGUCGAGAAUAGUCUACAAUGGCCGGAAGGCUGAUAGUGCGACGCCGCGUGAACGAGGGAGCCCUCGGGUGUAAGUUCUUUCUAUACGAGCAGUGCUAUAUAUAUGGAUAGUAUAGUAUAGAGGAGUAGUAGUAUAGGAAUAAGACAACGGCUAACUCCGUGCCAGCAGCCGAC
RNAcentral lists this ribosomal RNA (504 nucleotides) under uncultured bacterium. RNAcentral's name for it is "bacterial SSU rRNA". It matches the Rfam family "Bacterial small subunit ribosomal RNA", at positions 28 to 518 of the family's 1533-position model. The record is from RNAcentral.